Gossypium arboreum is the source of this 149-nucleotide microRNA precursor. It matches the Rfam family "MIR7502 microRNA precursor family". The record is from Rfam. NCBI's taxonomy places the organism in Eukaryota, Viridiplantae, Streptophyta, Magnoliopsida, Malvales, Malvaceae.
UAUUAAAAAUUUCAUCCAUUUGUACUGUUAAAAAUUGGCGUGAUUGAUAGAAUAAACCAGAUAGUGAUAUGUGGCGUGCCACGUGUAUAUCAUGUUGACGUACAAGGAGGGUCAGUUUUUAAUAGUAGAAAUGGAUUAAAUUCUUAACU